Non-coding RNA from Pangasianodon gigas (Mekong giant catfish), 73 nucleotides. Lineage: Eukaryota; Metazoa; Chordata; Actinopteri; Siluriformes; Pangasiidae. The record is from the annotation of a GenBank genome assembly.
UUACUUUGACACUUACCACCUACCUAAACAUUGCUGAAGUACACCCCUUCAUGGCAACGGUAUUCCCUAAUGG